RNAcentral lists this ribosomal RNA (428 nucleotides) under uncultured bacterium. RNAcentral's name for it is "bacterial SSU rRNA". It matches the Rfam family "Bacterial small subunit ribosomal RNA", at positions 355 to 776 of the family's 1533-position model. The record is from RNAcentral.
UGGGGAAUCUUGCGCAAUGGACGAAAGUCUGACGCAGCGACGCCGCGUGAGUGAUGAAGGCCUUCGGGUUGUAAAGCUCUGUGGGGAGGGACGAAUAAGCGUAGGUUAAUACCCUAGGUGAUGACGGUACCUUCUUAGCAAGCACCGGCUAACUCUGUGCCAGCAGCCGCGGUAAGACAGAGGGUGCAAACGUUGUUCGGAAUUACUGGGCGUAAAGCGUGUGUAGGCGGCCUCGUAAGUCGGAUGUGAAAGCCCUGGGCUCAACCCAGGAAGUGCAUUCGAAACUGCGAAGCUUGAGUUUCGGAGAGGUUGGUGGAAUUCUCGGUGUAGAGGUGAAAUUCGUAGAUAUCGGGAAGAACACCGGUGGCGAAGGCGGCCAACUGGACGAAAACUGACGCUGAGACACGAAAGCGUGGGGAGCAAACAGG